UGUGGUUUAAUUCGAUGCAACGCGAAGAACCUUACCUGGUCUUGACAUCCCGGAGACCCUUAGGAACUAGGGGUGCUUCCAUCUGGAGAAUCUGGAGACAGGUGCUGCAUGGCUGUCGUCAGCUCGUGUCGUGAGAUGUUGGGUUAAGUCCCGCAACGAGCGCAACCCUUGCCUUUAGUUGCCAGCAGUUCGGCUGGGCACUCUAAAGGGACUGCCGGUGUUAAACCGGAGGAAGGUGGGGAUGACGUCAAGUCCUCAUGGCCUUUAUGACCAGGGCUACACACGUACUACAAUGGCCGAUACAAAGGGCAGCGACACUGCGAGGUGAAGCCAAUCCCGUAAAAUCGGUCUCAGUCCGGAUUGGAGUCUGCAACUCGACUCCAUGAAGUUGGAAUCGCUAGUAAUCGUGGAUCAGCAUGCCACGGUGAAUACGUUCCCGGGCCUU
RNAcentral lists this ribosomal RNA (445 nucleotides) under uncultured Desulfobulbus sp. RNAcentral describes it as "bacterial SSU rRNA". It matches the Rfam family "Bacterial small subunit ribosomal RNA", at positions 940 to 1382 of the family's 1533-position model. The record is from RNAcentral. Lineage: Bacteria; Pseudomonadati; Thermodesulfobacteriota; Desulfobulbia; Desulfobulbales; Desulfobulbaceae.